This 624-nucleotide unclassified non-coding RNA is filed under the name Hevea brasiliensis (rubber tree). The record is from RNAcentral. Lineage: Eukaryota; Viridiplantae; Streptophyta; Magnoliopsida; Malpighiales; Euphorbiaceae.
GCAGAAUCAGUGAGAAUACUGUAAGAGUCCUUUGGGAAAAUGAUAAAAUAAGGAUAAGGAGCCAAAGGACUUACUGUGCCUUGCACUUUUGUCAGUUGGUAGGAACUAGGAAAUGUCUGCAAUAUGUUACUAUUUUCUCCCAACUAAUCUCUGCAUUAUUGCAUUUCCUAUAAACACUAGAGAAAAUUGCAGCAUAAGAUCACUUUUAAAUGGCUUUGAUUUUUUUUGCCACAUCUAAUGCACUAUGGUUUGGUGUCAGCAUAACAUAUGCUUUCUUCGUCCCGUCAGGCAUGAUUGAUGUAUUUACUUUCUUCAAUUCAAUCUUAAACAGUUUCUUUACAGCAUCCCUUAUGCUCUUCUUGUCAGCAUCUUUGUGAACAACAAAAACCAAAGUAUUAUGACGUAAUAUAUUCCCCAUAGUAGACUCAGUUUUCAGAGGAUAUUGGAUGACCUGGUAACAUUCAAGUUUGUUCCUCUGUGACACACUAUUGUUGAGACGCUUGGGAUUUCUCUCCACUUUCAACAUCUUCUUCCGUUCAGAUGAGACUGAAUUUUGGAUAUCUAAUACACGCCUAUUGGUUGUUUCAUCCGAUUUCACUGUAAUGGCAUAUGCUACCCUUUGUU